This 472-nucleotide ribosomal RNA is filed under the name Streptococcus mitis. RNAcentral's name for it is "bacterial SSU rRNA". It matches the Rfam family "Bacterial small subunit ribosomal RNA", at positions 28 to 485 of the family's 1533-position model. The record is from RNAcentral. Lineage: Bacteria; Bacillati; Bacillota; Bacilli; Lactobacillales; Streptococcaceae.
GACGAACGCUGGCGGCGUGCCUAAUACAUGCAAGUAGAACGCUGAAGGAGGAGCUUGCUUCUCUGGAUGAGUUGCGAACGGGUGAGUAACGCGUAGGUAACCUGCCUGGUAGCGGGGGAUAACUAUUGGAAACGAUAGCUAAUACCGCAUAAUAGCAGUUAUUGCAUGAUAACUGUUUGAAAGGUGCAAUUGCACCACUACCAGAUGGACCUGCGUUGUAUUAGCUAGUUGGUGGGGUAACGGCUCACCAAGGCGACGAUACAUAGCCGACCUGAGAGGGUGAUCGGCCACACUGGGACUGAGACACGGCCCAGACUCCUACGGGAGGCAGCAGUAGGGAAUCUUCGGCAAUGGACGGAAGUCUGACCGAGCAACGCCGCGUGAGUGAAGAAGGUUUUCGGAUCGUAAAGCUCUGUUGUAAGAGAAGAACGAGUGUGAGAGUGGAAAGUUCACACUGGACGGUAUCUACAGA